RNAcentral lists this unclassified non-coding RNA (635 nucleotides) under Hevea brasiliensis (rubber tree). The record is from RNAcentral. Lineage: Eukaryota; Viridiplantae; Streptophyta; Magnoliopsida; Malpighiales; Euphorbiaceae.
GUAUUUUUCCAUCAUAUACAAUUUCGAUUAAUGAUUUGCUUAAAGUGCCGGUAUGUAUAUAUAUACACUUUUGUUUUGUUGUCUGCAUACAUUCCAGCGUGUGGAAUUUCGAGAGGCUUGCAGACAGGCGCAGAAUGGACGGGUGGUCUUUUGAGGAAUUACACACACGUUUUAUUUUGCCCCUUGGAUCGAUGCACAGUGGGUCACUAACGCCAAAAGAUAUCACGUGAUUCCAAUUUCAAUGGAAAUUGUGGUGAUAGAUGAAAGGGACGACUAAUCUGUGUGAAAAAUUCAGUAUAAACCCUUUGAAGAGCGUAAUGGCAAAUGAUGGCAAGUGUAGGUUUUCGAGCAAGGAUGGGGAAUCCAUAUAUAAUAAGAGUACUCGGUGCUUGACUCAGCUUGUUUUGUGAAGAUUAAUCAGAAUUCGUCCCUGAACUUCUGAGCUUGUUAUGAUGUGGUGUGCCUACAGGGCAUAUGGUUCUUCACUGGCCUUUGCUAGUAACCAAGACCAGUUAGUUGAAAGUCUCAUUGUGUGAAUUUUUGGACAUGCGUGUGAAAACGACGAAGGUUUGGAAGCUGCGUGGAAGGAUGCUAAUGUAUAGUCUGUCUAGGUUUUUUUUUUUUUUUUGGUAUAU